CCCACUCAUCUGCCUACUGUCUGCUUAUUUCGUAGAUUCAGUUCUCAAACCUUCAGAGGGCAGGGGCUAUGUCUUCCCUCCCCUGCAAGGGAAAAGUGACUUCCUGCUCUUCCGGUCUGGCCUCAAAGGUUUUUACUAACAAAUCCACCAAUAAUUUUACUGAGGAUCUUUUGUAUGUCAUAAGUAACUUCUCUCUUGCUGCUUUCAAGAUUAUAUGUGUCUUAGACUUUUAUUUUGAUUAUCAUGUGCCUCAGUGUGAGUCUCUUUAUGUUCAUCUUACCUAAAGUUCAUUGAGCUUCUUGGAUUUUUAGACUCAUGUACUUCAUCACAUUUGUAAAAUUUUGGACCAUGUUUCUUCACAUAACCUCCUUGCCCCUUUCUGUCUCUCUUCUUUUUCUGAACUCCCAUAGUGCAUAUAGUGGCCUACUUGCCAGUGUUUUAUAAGGCCAUGAAGCUCUAUUCCCUUUUGUUUAUUCUUUUUUUUUCUUUACUGUUUUGCUCCUCAGACUCAAUAAUUUUAAUUGUAUUGCCUUUAAAUUUACUGAUUCUUUCUUCUGCUUGCUGAAAUCUGCAGUUGAAAUCCCUCUAGUAAAUUUUUCAAUUCAGUUGUAUUUUUCAGCUUCAUAAUUUAUAUGUAUAAUUUUAACUUCUCUGCUUUUUAUUUAUUUAUUUAUUUAUUUAUUUAUUUUUGAGACACAGUUUUGCUCUGUCACCCCAGGCUGGAGUGCAGUGGUGCAAUCUCAGCUCACUGCAACCUCCCCCUCCUGGGUUCAAGCGAUUCUCCUGCCUCAGCCUCCCAAGUAGCUGGGAUUACCAGCAUGCGCCACCACGCCCAGCUAAUUUUUGUGUUUUUAGUAGAGACAGAGUUUCACCAUUUUGGCCAGAAUGGUAUCAAAGUCCUGACCUUAAGUGAUCUGCCCGCCUUGGCCUCCCAGAAUGCUGGGAUUACAGGUGUGAACCACCACUCUGGUCUCUGCUGACAUUCUUAUUUUGCCUGUUUAUUGUUGUCCUCAUUUUCUUUGGUUCUUUGUGUUUUUCUUUAGAUCUUUGAGCAUAUUCAAGACAGCUAUUUUAAAGUCUUUGUCUUGUAGGUCCAAUGUACGUGCUCUCUAGGGAUAUUACCUGGAGAUUUACAUUUUCCUUUGAUUAGACCAGGUUUUACUACUUCUUUGUAUACCCUAUGAUUUUUUGUUGGCACUUCAAUACUCGAAUAAACAACCAUCUCUCUCAGCUUUUGCAGGAAGGCAAAAAGAGAUAAGCAGAAGCUGGGCUGGUGCCUCCUCUAGAACGAGACCAUGCUGAGCCAAGGAUGGAGUGGGGCAGCGGUAAAGAAAAUACCAUACAAUUUCCUACCUUUUUAAGGUGAAUUUUUUAUUAGGUAUUUACAUGGUUGCUGUAAACCUUUUUUUCCCACAGCUACUCUAAGAUUAGUUCAGCAACUUUCUGGUCAUUUUUGAUGGUUCCAUGGGGAAACGAGGAAUUGAAGCUUCCUAGUCUGCCAUUUUGCUGAUGUCAAUCCUUUGAGGAAGUUUUGACUAGUUAAGACUAUCACUUUGAAAAACCAAAAGCAAACAAUAUAUCAAGCAAAAUCAGCAACACACUUAGACCAAAGCUAAUUUCGGUAACGUCCACAAAACCUCUUAUAAAUCCAUAACAAAAAUUUAAAAAUCAAGUAAAUGACAUAAACAGGUAAUUUAAAGAAAAAGCAAUGCUACUCUUUUUGAUGACUUUACAGUGUACCCUCGCCUCUUAAACAGUCCUGUUUCUAGAUAAAGAAUAAGACUAGGCAUUCUAUACAUGCUGUAAACUCUGUAGUAGAGG
Molecule: long non-coding RNA, 1821 nt
Filed under: Papio anubis (olive baboon)
Lineage: Eukaryota; Metazoa; Chordata; Mammalia; Primates; Cercopithecidae
Description: lncRNA (ENSPANG00000049431.1)
Source: RNAcentral